RNAcentral lists this long non-coding RNA (237 nucleotides) under Lathyrus oleraceus (garden pea). RNAcentral describes it as "Pisum sativum (pea) long non-coding RNA (PSAT_LNC041140)". The record is from RNAcentral. Lineage: Eukaryota; Viridiplantae; Streptophyta; Magnoliopsida; Fabales; Fabaceae.
AGAUGAUGGAUUUUCAAUGGCUGCCAUUUUUUUGCUGUCACUGUUUGUUAGUUGAAAGCAACAAAGGAGAGAAAGAGAAGAAAUAGAUAUUUAGAUAAAAACCAAAGAAAGAGAAUAAAUAGGGAUUUCAAACAUUAUUGGGCCCUAAUAACACACAAGAAAUCGGAUUUCAAAAACUAUUAUUGAAAGCGCAUGAUACACGAUUCGAUCUCACCAUAUACAACCAAAACCAAAUUU